This 2222-nucleotide long non-coding RNA is filed under the name Neodiprion pinetum (white pine sawfly). RNAcentral describes it as "uncharacterized LOC124221556". Lineage: Eukaryota; Metazoa; Arthropoda; Insecta; Hymenoptera; Diprionidae. The record is from RNAcentral.
CUCAGCUCCAGCUGCACUGCAUCUUCUGAACAUAUCCAUGAAAUGUUUGAUGUUGAAACGUGCAUCGUUGAAGAUGAAGAAAAAAUCAUCAACAACACGGCCGUCUCGUCGCAUUUUCUUCUCGUAGUCUCAUCGUAAAAGCGGCACGACUACCAGGACUUCACCGAGUCUACCAUGGAUACGUCUUCGACCUCCGGAAACGGCUGACAUCUGGUCGAUGCGCGAGCAGAGGAGCCCGCGAUGCGGUGAUAUUCAUGCACGAUGUUUAUACACGGCGUCCGUCUUCGGUUCCAUUAACGGCAGGCUUUCGGCGAGGUGAUUCAAGGAUAUAAAAAUCCGCCGUCGCUGGGCAUCGGGAAUACUCCAAGUCUGGGACCCGCAUUCCUAGAGACCGGGACUGGAUCGGAGGGCGAGUCGAAGCCUGUCCGGCCUGGCACGAAUCCGUUUCGGGUUCUCCUCGUGUCACUCGUCCAGGAAGAAGAUGAUUCAUCGCGUCCGCGUACCGGCGCCAAAGACCUGCAAGGCUGCAUGUAACGACGAUCGCGUGUGCGGUGUACCUGCAGUUCGAAGCCUCGGACGUGCUCGGGGAAGUUGGUGUUCUGUUACCCCAGGGGUAAACCGGAGACCUCGAAUCGAACAACUUGCGUUACCAACUAGCCCAACACACCGGGAACGAUUCCCUGCAGCUGUCGGCCGAACCGGGAGAAAAAUCCCCGGUGUUUCAGAACGGCAGACCUGUGCAAUCAAAAUAUCUGCAAGCGGACCUUGAACCCUCCACCACUUUGCGUUCUCAGAAAACUUUGAUGGUUCAGAAUGAGACGAGGGAAUACGACGACGCGUCAGCUGUCGACGGGGUCCCGAGUACGACUAGAAGACGUACAUGUCAUCGUGGAAGGAAGGAGGGCAGGAAUCGCGGUUGGAAUUCUGAAGCAUUUGCACGUACGAUGACUGGCAGGUUUAUUGCGCAAAGAAGAAGUUGAGCGUUACAGGCGUGCGGCAGGGUGGAGGGGGGAAUUUUGCUAAACGGCUGGUGUAGUUGCUGCAGUAGCGUCGCGACGUCGCGGUUCGUCCUCCUCCCUCGCGGUGCAGGAUGGAUCUUUUAGCAUUCCGGUGCACGGAGUGCGACUUUUGACGACCAACUUUUACCUACCGGAGAAACGGUCUGGCCUUCACUUCACCUCUUCUCCCCGCCUCUGCAUAAUCCAUGGAGGGUGUAAGAGCUGCAGUUUAGUGCACCAUGGAAGGCGGGCGAAACGACGUGGAUGCAGUCGCGGCGUUGCCGAGGAGCUGCAAGAAUUCUUGAUGAAAAGGACUAGGAGGUGUGACUUGGGCAACACGUGCAAAUAACAGUCAGUGGUCUUCGUCCCCAAAUCCUUGCCAAGUUCCGCUUCUCUCUCUCUCUCUCUCUCUCCAUCUCUCUCCAUCUCUACAGUUCCAGGCGCCGUCCUACCACUCGGACUGAUCCAUUCCGGAGGUUGUAAACCCGCAGACCAGCCGAGGAUGUCCCUCGAAGUAGAAAUUACUCCGUGAAACUGAAGACACCUUUAUUAGAUAUUGUUUGCGCUGAUGAACGUUCCCGAGUGCACGGAGUAACUUCCACCAGGAAACGCGUCCGUACACCGGCGUGCCGAAGACCUCUAGUUAUUAUCCGAGACGUCUAGGCUGCAUCGGACUCCUUUCGUACGACCGACAAGAGUGAUGACAAAGCGCGAGAGGAGAGACAAACACGAGGGGGAACGAGUCACGCUCAUUUAUGAAUUCUCCUUUGUUUAGCGUUACUCCGGACGCGAAUCAGCGACCUGGCAACAACGAAUCAAGGAAUUUGUUCCGGGUGCCAGUACCUACCCUGUUCCACGACGGGGUACAAGAGCUAUGGGAUUCACGCCGAGAUUGAAGAGCCCGCUACACAAUGACAAUUCGAAAUUGAAUUCGAUCCUUGACUCUCUCUCUCUCUCUCUUUCUUUCUCUCUCUCUCUCUCUCUCCAUCUCUUCCCCCUUCUCUUUUUCCCGCCUCGAGUACCGUCUGUACACAAGAUUGCUACAGACAUCAUCCUAUUAACAACUUAACCUCUGCAGGUUACACCGAGUACACGUGUUGCGUACGUGUAACAGUUAUUUCAUAGCCGACGUGCAAGAGACACGGUUCUUCUCAUACUUUGAACUUUCAAUUAGCUCUACUUGUGGUCCGUAAACGGAAAUUGCGUUUUAUUACGAGUAAAAGA